Small nuclear RNA from Loxodonta africana (African savanna elephant), 125 nucleotides. The record is from Ensembl. NCBI's taxonomy places the organism in Eukaryota, Metazoa, Chordata, Mammalia, Proboscidea, Elephantidae.
GUAACUGUAAUAGGAGAGAAGGUUAGCACUCUCCUUGACAAGGAUGGAAGAGGCCCUUGGGCCUUACUACACAUGUAUGGUUAAGACAUUACCACCUACUUUGGGAAGUCUAAUCACAGUUGGGA